GCUACUUGGACACUACAGUUUGAUGUCCGAUCACGUGGCCUUCCUUCCCAAUCACUUAUUGAAGUAUAAUAUAGGGGAGGAUCAGCAGAUUAAUGAAAACUCACCGCAGGAAACAAGCACAGCCACGUGACUUAGGUUGCUUUGUAGAAAUCCAUUUAAGUUCAGUGAUCAAAUUUCAGACACGUCAGACUUUCUUAAUUCAAACGUUUGCUGCGUAAUUUGCUUCAUCGUUCAGUAAGGUAAAUAAACUCUUGUGUUAAAAAAAAAAAAACAUAAGGGCUACUUAGAUAUGGCAUGAGUUGAUGGCAAGCCACGUGGCCUUCCCAAUCCCUUCCUGGAGAAUAAUUUUAAGGAAUCGUCAUCCAAGCGAGUGCAAUUUUAGCUCCACGUCGGAAACUUUUUCAGUUUUGUGGUUAAACUGUGAUAUUCGCGUUUAUCUGAAAUAGCAGACCGGAUUCACAUGAAAUACUCGAGCUCGUGAGCAGCGUGUUUUCCACGCGCCCUUUAUCAUCAAAAUGGAGGAUCUCCAUUGAGGAGAACGGAAGGAACCAAGAUUUCCCUUGUGACCUUAGUGUAAACAUGAAGAGAAGAAAAGAAAAGCAAAGCAAGCAGUAGAAGGCCCUCUCUCCAAGCGCCUCCUCAUUGUUGAAGAUGAUCAACUUCUCGGAAACUUCGGCAGGAUUUCGUGCUGUGGCGUCGUAUUUGACAACUAUUAAGAAAAUAAAAUUAAAAGCUGAGAAACCAGUACAGUCCUACCGCCUAAAGUUAUGUUAGAUGGAGAGUGUGACCUCGUGCAAAUCGUUGUGUUGUUUUUAAGUUGCAGGUGGCCUUCAACACAACGUGUUUAAAGGGGGAGGGGAGUUACAAUUAAACACAAGACUUGUUGGUGUAAAAAAAAAAAUUUGAACGACAAAAGUGUAGCCUACUAAACACACAAAGUCUUCAAACAGACUUGUGUCCAAAUAUCCGCAUGUACGCUACUACACUAGUGUGUUUAAAAUAGUGUAGAUAGCAUUCUGACAAGGCUGGUACUGAGCAGCUUCCUGAAAUAUCCAGGAUUUGACUGACUGAAUUUGUCCAAAGUUAGGGAAUGUUGCUGUGAAUCCACUUUGGGUCCCCAGUA
This is a long non-coding RNA of Ictalurus punctatus (channel catfish), 1123 nucleotides long. NCBI's taxonomy places the organism in Eukaryota, Metazoa, Chordata, Actinopteri, Siluriformes, Ictaluridae. The record is from Ensembl.